This 742-nucleotide ribosomal RNA is filed under the name uncultured bacterium. Its description in RNAcentral is "bacterial SSU rRNA". It matches the Rfam family "Bacterial small subunit ribosomal RNA", at positions 8 to 796 of the family's 1533-position model. The record is from RNAcentral.
AGAGUUUGAUCAUGGCUCAGAACGAACGCUGGCGGCAUGCCUAAUACAUGCAAGUCGAACGAGACCUUCGGGUCUAGUGGCGCACGGGUGCGUAACGCGUGGGAAUCUGCCCUUGGGUUCGGAAUAACUUCGGGAAACUGAAGCUAAUACCGGAUGAUGACGAAAGUCCAAAGAUUUAUCGCCCAGGGAUGAGCCCGCGUAGGAUUAGCUAGUUGGUGGGGUAAAGGCUCACCAAGGCAACGAUCCUUAGCUGGUCUGAGAGGAUGAUCAGCCACACUGGGACUGAGACACGGCCCAGACUCCUACGGGAGGCAGCAGUAGGGAAUAUUGGACAAUGGGCGAAAGCCUGAUCCAGCAAUGCCGCGUGAGUGAUGAAGGCCUUAGGGUUGUAAAGCUCUUUUACCCGAGAUGAUAAUGACAGUAUCGGGAGAAUAAGCUCCGGCUAACUCCGUGCCAGCAGCCGCGGUAAUACGGAGGGAGCUAGCGUUGUUCGGAAUUACUGGGCGUAAAGCGCACGUAGGCGGCGAUUUAAGUCAGAGGUGAAAGCCCGGGGCUCAACCCCGGAACUGCCUUUGAGACUGGAUUGCUAGAAUCUUGGAGAGGCGAGUGGAAUUCCGAGUGUAGAGGUGAAAUUCGUAGAUAUUCGGAAGAACACCAGUGGCGAAGGCGACUGACUGGACAAGUAUUGACGCUGAGGUGCGAAAGCGUGGGGAGCGAACAGGAUUAGAUACCCUGGUAGUCC